AUUGGCUCAUAAAACCUGGACCUGCCUACGAUGUAAACUGAGGCCACUUUAGGGAAGCCAGAGGAAGAUAUCUUGCUGUGAAAUGUGGUCUCCUGUCUGGGGAUAAGUAGAAGAUGCUGUAGAAGCAGAAGGUUCUGGCAUUGUCUGGAAAUGGUUCCUUCAGCCAUAUCAAGUGUGUGUAUAAAACAGACCCCAGAAAAGCAGAGCUGCUAAAGAACUGUGUCUGCAUGCUUUCAUUGACAUUUGGUGACCUUUCUUUGUGCACCCAGCCUAACCUCUUAGGUUAUUUCCUGGCCUCCCUUCUGUGACCUAUGACCGAGGCUGACCUUUAGCUGGAGAAUGUGACAUUUUGUUCUCCUCUAGCUGACAUGUGAUGCUCUCAUUAUUCAAAGCCUCUGUGGGAAACCAGCAAGCUGGAUUCAUCAACCCCACCUGAGUGGUGAAGGCGUACAAUUUAAAGAGUUGCAAAACUCCUACUUUCCUUUCUCCCACACUGGGAAGCCAUUGCUUCUCCUGGGCACGGCAAUGUUUUCACAUCACAGGGAACAGAUCCUGUGAGUGCUAUCAGGCCACCUGUAUCCUAAUGUGCGAAAGGUCCAAAAGGAGCAGUGGGUUCCUUGAAUGACAUAAUCUCAUGAAGCUCAAGCCAGCCUUCCUUCAACUUGUUAUGCACCCUUCACUGUCUCUGAACUCUUGAUGCUCCUGUUUCUAUGUCCCAAGAGCAGGGGACAACAGGCACAUGUUACUAUAACCCCCAAAGGUUUUGUAUAGUGAAAUCUUAAUGAAAAUAAAGCCAUAGUUGGUUUCCA
RNAcentral lists this long non-coding RNA (809 nucleotides) under Mus musculus (house mouse). RNAcentral describes it as "predicted gene, 30790". Lineage: Eukaryota; Metazoa; Chordata; Mammalia; Rodentia; Muridae. The record is from RNAcentral.